Molecule: ribosomal RNA, 301 nt
Filed under: uncultured bacterium
Lineage: Bacteria
Description: partial 16S ribosomal RNA
Rfam family: Bacterial small subunit ribosomal RNA
Source: RNAcentral
CAGUAGCCGCGGGAAUACGUAGGUGGCGAGCGUUGUCCGGAAUCAUUGGGCGUAAAGGGAGCGCAGGCGGGCAUGUAAGUCUUUCUUAAAAGUUCGGGGCUCAACCCCGUGAUGGGAAAGAAACUACAUGUCUUGAGUACAGGAGAGGAAAGCGGAAUUCCCAGUGUAGCGGUGAAAUGCGUAGAUAUUGGGAGGAACACCAGUGGCGAAGGCGGCUUUCUGGACUGCAACUGACGCUGAGGAGCGAAAGCGUGGGGAGCGAUCAGGAUUAGAGACCCGUGUAGUCCCUGUCUCUUAUACC